UCUUCAAUAGCUCAGUGGUAGAGCAGAUGGCUGUUAACCAUCGGGUCGCUGGUUCAAAUCCGGCUUGAGGAG
RNAcentral lists this transfer RNA (72 nucleotides) under Trebouxia aggregata. RNAcentral's name for it is "tRNA-Asn". It matches the Rfam family "tRNA". From Rfam's summary of the family: Transfer RNA (tRNA) molecules are approximately 80 nucleotides in length. The record is from RNAcentral. Lineage: Eukaryota; Viridiplantae; Chlorophyta; Trebouxiophyceae; Trebouxiales; Trebouxiaceae. RNAcentral also lists the same sequence under 5 other names.